This 500-nucleotide ribosomal RNA is filed under the name uncultured bacterium. RNAcentral's name for it is "partial 16S ribosomal RNA". It matches the Rfam family "Bacterial small subunit ribosomal RNA", at positions 29 to 523 of the family's 1533-position model. The record is from RNAcentral.
AUUGAACGCUGGCGGCAUGCCUUACACAUGCAAGUCGAACGGCAGCACGGGGGCAACCCUGGUGGCGAGUGGCGAACGGGUGAGUAAUGCAUCGGAACGUGUCCUCUUGUGGGGGAUAACCAGUCGAAAGAUUGGCUAAUACCGCAUGAGAUCGCAAGAUGAGAGCGGGGGACCGCAAGGCCUCGCGCGAGAGGAGCGGCCGAUGCCGGAUUAGCUAGUUGGUGGGGUAAAAGCCUACCAAGGCGACAAUCCGUAGCUGGUCUGAGAGGACGACCAGCCACACUGGGACUGAGACACGGCCCAGACUCCUACGGGAGGCAGCAGUGGGGAAUUUUGGACAAUGGGCGCAAGCCUGACCCAGCCAUGCCGCGUGUGUGAAGAAGGCCUUCGGGUUGUAAAGCACUUUCGGACGGAACGAAAUCGCGCGGACGAACAUUCCGCGUGGAUGACGGUACCGUAAGAAGAAGCACCGGCUAACUACGUGCCAGCCGCCGCCGUAA